CGUGUAGGCGGAGGUGCAAGUUGGGAGUGAAAUCCCGGGGCUCAACCCCGGAACUGCUUUCAAAACUGCAUCCCUUGAGUAUCGGAGAGGCAAGCGGAAUUCCUGGUGUAGCGGUGAAAUGCGUAGAUAUUAGGAAGAACACCAGUGGCGAAGGCGGCUUGCUGGACGACAACUGACGCUGAGGCGCGAAAGCGUGGGGAGCAAACA
RNAcentral lists this ribosomal RNA (207 nucleotides) under uncultured bacterium. RNAcentral describes it as "partial 16S ribosomal RNA". It matches the Rfam family "Bacterial small subunit ribosomal RNA", at positions 568 to 774 of the family's 1533-position model. The record is from RNAcentral.